GAUCCUGGCUCAGAUUGAACGCUGGCGGCAGGCUUAACACAUGCAAGUCGAGGGGCAGCAUGGUCUUAGCUUGCUAAGGCCGAUGGCGACCGGCGCACGGGUGAGUAACACGUAUCCAACCUGCCGUCUACUCUUGGCCAGCCUUCUGAAAGGAAGAUUAAUCCAGGAUGGGAUCAUGAGUUCACAUGUCCGCAUGAUUAAAGGUAUUUUCCGGUAGACGAUGGGG
RNAcentral lists this ribosomal RNA (226 nucleotides) under uncultured bacterium. RNAcentral describes it as "partial 16S ribosomal RNA". It matches the Rfam family "Bacterial small subunit ribosomal RNA", at positions 15 to 230 of the family's 1533-position model. The record is from RNAcentral.